UUCGUGAAGCUGGAUUCGCUAGUAAUCGCGCAUCAGCCACGGCGCGGUGAAUACGUUCCCGGGCCUUGUACACACCGCCCGUCAAGCCAUGGGAGCCGGGGGUACCUGAAGUACGUAACCGCAAGGAUCGUCCUAGGGUAAAACUGGUGACUGGGGCUAAGUCGUAACAAGGUAGCCGUACCGGAAGGUGCGGCUGGAACACCUCCUUU
Molecule: ribosomal RNA, 209 nt
Filed under: Bacteroides fragilis
Lineage: Bacteria; Pseudomonadati; Bacteroidota; Bacteroidia; Bacteroidales; Bacteroidaceae
Also listed under: 1 other name
Description: partial 16S ribosomal RNA
Rfam family: Bacterial small subunit ribosomal RNA
Source: RNAcentral